RNAcentral lists this long non-coding RNA (596 nucleotides) under Homo sapiens (human). RNAcentral describes it as "HSALNT0324425". The record is from RNAcentral. Lineage: Eukaryota; Metazoa; Chordata; Mammalia; Primates; Hominidae.
UCAUCUGCUGUGGGUGUUCCUGAUCUUUGAGCCAUGAUAAUGUUACUGGUUGGAUGUCAGGAGCAGGCCAUGUGGAUGAUUAAAAGAUGAAUAUCAUAUACAGCAUGGAUAUGUUGGACAAAAAGAUGAUUCACAUCCCAGACAGAAUGGAGCAGCACAUUUAUUAAAAGCCAGAAGCUAGAAGACGAGGAAAGAAGAGGUGGUUAAAGAAAGAUACAGUAACAGCAGUAAUAUCUAACAGGAAGGCUACAGGGGAAAAUACAGAAAUUCCAUAAAGAACAAACACUGUAACUCAAAACCAAAGCUUUGCUAGUCACUAGUGCCCGCUACAUCCUAACAGAUGCAGCUGGAGAGCCUGGGGUGAGAACAUGAGCAGUCUAUAAUCAGAAAAUCCCUUUGGGAUAAAUUGACAAAAAUAUAAACCACUCCACAAAGGAGAAAUUGUAAAUGAAAAUGACAUGAGAAGGAAGAAGAUCACUUCAGAGAGCCUGCAGCUCAGAACAGUGGGAACAUCAAAGGUUCCCCAUGUGUCAUUUCAUCUGAUCUUCAUGUUGUAAGGGGUCUGUAUUACUGUUUCCAUUUUAAAGACCACGAAA